ACAAAGCAUUGAUGCAAUCCCUUGCGCAGUGGCUUCAACUGUGGCUUCUGCUAAAGGCACUUGUCUCUGCUUUUUAUUGCAUGAAAUAUAGCCACCCAGUGGUUCGUGUUGAACUUCAAUUCCUUCAACUUGCCUUAAUGGAGGAAAGAGCAGAGCAGGCUGUGAAAGUACUCGGAAAAGUAAAGCAGCUGCAGCAUCCGCAGCAAUGCCUGCUCUCAUGGACAUGGCAAUUCCAAUUGCACGCAAAAAAUGCAAAUGCAUCCAAUUCCUAGGAAGCCGUAAGUUAGUAGCAUAAUCUUCAGCUGCUCGAAGAAG
Molecule: unclassified non-coding RNA, 315 nt
Filed under: Hevea brasiliensis (rubber tree)
Lineage: Eukaryota; Viridiplantae; Streptophyta; Magnoliopsida; Malpighiales; Euphorbiaceae
Source: RNAcentral